CAGUAAGUGUUCAAUGGCACUUUAAAAUCCAUUACCCACCUUGUGUGCAAUGUAAGGAGGAGGGGGUUUUGUCAGACUUUUUUGGUCUGGUUUCCCCUCUUUCAUUAUACAUACCAAAUCUUCUCUUGUUGUCUACUUUUUGAGUAUAAAAAAACUCGAAUA
Molecule: unclassified non-coding RNA, 162 nt
Filed under: soil metagenome
Description: partial internal transcribed spacer 1
Source: RNAcentral